GGAUGUGAGGGCAAUCUGGCUGUGACAUCUGUCACCCUACUGAUCGCCAGGGUUGAGUCGGCUGAUCUGGCUGGCUAGGCGGGUGUCCUCUUCCUCCCUCACCGCUCCAUGUGCUUCCCUUCUGAAGCUGAGCGCUUGGUCUAAGAGGACGGCCUUCCCCAAAUAGAGACGGACCAGUCUUCGGCAGAGUAGCUGCGCUCCCCUGCUAGAACCUCCUAACAAGCUCUCAAAUUGAUUGCCUCUCUAAAUAGUCACCUAAUAUAGUCAUACUCUAACAUACUAGGGGUUAAUACAUGAUUUCAGGGGGCAAGGUUCAGCUUUGAGUAUCA
Non-coding RNA from Erinaceus europaeus (western European hedgehog), 329 nucleotides. NCBI's taxonomy places the organism in Eukaryota, Metazoa, Chordata, Mammalia, Eulipotyphla, Erinaceidae. The record is from Rfam.